This is a long non-coding RNA of Phymastichus coffea, 846 nucleotides long. RefSeq lists it as uncharacterized. Lineage: Eukaryota; Metazoa; Arthropoda; Insecta; Hymenoptera; Eulophidae. The record is from RefSeq and is a predicted model, not a curated record. The transcript is spliced from 7 exons.
AGAUCGGCGUUGCCACUUCAAAAAUUUUUCUCAAGGUCCUUAGAAAUUAUUGCAUUAUGUUAAAUGGAAUAAUUUCUAGGGACCCUGAUAAAAAAAUUUCCAGCGGCAACGCUGCAGGAAUUUCGUGGAUGUGGUACUCCUACUCUUAUUCCGAGAGCUCGGAACAAUUGAACUUUGAUGGACGCUCCACUUCUCUGCCAUUUUGUUACUAACUCUUGAGGUGUACGGUUGCUUCUUUUAAGAAGUUUCAGUCAUGUUGGAUGAUAGCUGCGAUGCAAGUCACAACGAAGUGCAGUUUUCAGAACACGUGGAUGUCGAAGCUUAUAGUAGGUGUUUUAAUGUUAGCUGAGUUGGAUCUUAACAGAAUAAAAAUGUGAAUCAAUAUUACAAUUGACGUUGGACUUUAUUAGUCAUACAAGAUGACUUCAACGGUAAUCAGAGAAAUAAGGAAUCAAAUUCAUCUUGAAGAUUUUUUUAAGUACUGAUAUAGAUAUCUAAAGUAAUAUAUCCGCUGAAUUAACUAAAACAUGAAGAAAGUGAUCAACUGAUCAAUAUUUAUUAUCUUGCAAUUCACGAUAUUUUAGGCUGACAGAAAUGCAGAAAUGGCAAUAGUUUCAUUGGUUUAAUUGACUUUGGAAUUAUAUUGGCGCAUCACUAGGCAAGUGAAUCAGUAUUAAUGAAAGAAAGAUAUAUUAUAUGGCAGUUUGUGCAAUGAGUCCUACUACACUGUUGUUUUGCCCUGCUGUAAGAACAGAAGCAAUCCCAAUAGAAAAUGCCAUUUUAUAAUUAUUGUCACUGAGUGACUAUUGUGUGUUUGGUAUUAUGCAAAUAAACUAUUUUUCAUAA